Long non-coding RNA from Oncorhynchus nerka (sockeye salmon), 3300 nucleotides. RefSeq lists it as uncharacterized. The transcript is spliced from 2 exons. The record is from RefSeq and is a predicted model, not a curated record. Lineage: Eukaryota; Metazoa; Chordata; Actinopteri; Salmoniformes; Salmonidae.
UCCUCCUUUCUUUUUAAUAGUAUUUUUAUUGGAAUUUCACAGUUCUCUUCCACAUUAAGAGAUAUACAGUAACAAAGAUAAAAAAAAUAUAUAUAUAUGAGCAGACACGAAACCUUAGUUUAAAUAAAGGCAUUACGUCCAAUACAUGGAUUGUAAAAUGUAAUCCUGAGAUAAGUAAACAACCGCCAUUUUAAGAAAAACCUUGCUGCAUAAAAGCUGAAAUCAGUUUCUCACACUUUGUGGAACUGAUCUGUUUUAGAAUGUAAUGUAUAAGUCAACUAUUCCAAUGGAACCCUUUCAAAUAUUAUCUUAUGCCAAUCUUUAAUAGAAGGCACCUUGUCACUAACCCACUGUAAGAUAAUUCUUUUCCUCGCGGUUGCAGACAGUACAGUUGCCAUACCAGGCGGCGAUACAGCUUGACAAGGAUGCUCUCACUGGUGCAUCUGUAAAAGUUUGUGGGUAUUAGGAGCCAAGCCAAAAUUCUUCAGCCUCCUGAGGUUGAAGUGGCGCUGUAGCGCCUUCUUCACCACACUGUCUGUGUGGGUGGACCAUUUCAGAUUGUCAGUGAUGUGUACGCAGAGGAACUUGAAGAUUUUCAUCUUCUCCACUGCAGUCCCGUCGAUGUGGAUUGGGCCGUGCUCCCUCUGCUGUUUCCUGAAGUCCAUGAUCGGCCCGUCAGGAAGUCCAGGACACACUUGCACAGGACUGGGUUCAGAUCCUGGGCCACAAGCUUAAUGAUGAGCUAUAGUCAAUGAACAGCGUUCUUCCAUGGCUAUUCCUCUUGUCCAGAUGGGAUAGGGCAGUGUGCAGUGCGAUUGCGUCGUCUGUGGAUCGAUUGGGGCGGUAAUCAAAAUGACGUCGUCUAGGGUGUCAGGUAAGGCAGAGGUGAUAAGAUUCUUAACCAGCCUCUCAAAGCACUUCAUGAUGACAGAAGUGAGUGCUACGGGGCGAUAGUAAUUUAUAGUUGUGUAACGGACCGUAGUUGAACUGUGAUCCAUACAGAUCACCCCCCGCCGGUUCGGCACACAUGUGAACCGCGGUUCAAUUGCAAAAUUUAACCAUCAUAGUGUGAAAUACAGUUUUACUGCAGCGGUUACUUAGAGUAAUAAUUCCCUAAAUCUCAAUGCAGAGUUGCAGUGAAAAGAUAGACAAGACAGAUGCAUGCUGUGUUUUACUCUGAAGCCUGAAGGUUGAUUUGAUUAUUUUGUGUGUACUGUUCACAUUAAAGGGGCAUGUUGAAUCCCAACGAAUCAAUCCUGGAUGCUCGCGUCGCAAAGAAGAAAUGAGAGCAGUGACAGCCAUGGCUAGCGGAGGAGCUGAAGAACUGGAAAAGCCUCCCGCUUCAUCUAAGUCUCAUUUAUGGGAGAAUUUUGGCUUCCCUGUCAAAUAAGGGUGGUGGACAACACCAUUACGGUGUGUAGACAUUGUGCGACAAGAAAGCCGAAUGAUCAUGGAAAUACAUUGAGCAUGGCCACACAUUUUAAGCGGCAUCAACCUGGUAUGUCAGCGAUGCCAAGAGACAACUUCUCACCGCGGCAUUUAGGCAGCCCUUUCCUGCAGAAUCAGACCGGGCUGAAGCAAUCACCAAAUCUAUUGGGAUGUUUAUCGCUGUAGACAUGAGGCCACACUGUUGUGGAAAACAAAGGGUUUAAAAAUAUGGUGUAAGUGCUUGAGCCACGCUACGAAGUCCCCUCGCGCACCCACUUCAGUAUGAAGAUCGAGCCAGAUCUUGAUGAACAGGAAAAUAUCAAAAUUGUCGAAAAAUUAUCCAAGACGACCUCUAUUACCUUCACCACAGACGGGUGGACCUCCUGGGCAACGGAAAGCUACGUGACUGUGACUGCUCACUUCACCAUAGAGGAGUGGGAGAUGUGAAGUCCGGUGCUACAGACACGCCCCCUUUAUGAGAGUCACACAGGCACAAAUCCGGUGCAGGUACUGCUAGGAGCAGUAGCAGAGUGGAAGCAAGAGAGUAUCCCAAUCACCACAGAUAAUGCCAAGAACCAAGUAAAUGCAGUGAUAGAAGCUGGACUGGGGCCACAGAUAGUUUGCUUUGCACGUGAUCAAUUUAUCAUCCCAAAGGGGAAUCUCAGUGAACCAGAUGGAACGCCUCCUUGGGAGGAUCAGGAAGGUGGUUUCCUUUUUCCACCGAAGCACAACAGCCACUCAUGUGCUUAAGACCAAGCAAGAAACGCUACAGCUACCGACCCACAAGCUCAUAUACGAUGUCACAACAAGAUGGAACUCCACUUAUGACAUGUAGGAGCGCUAUCUUGAGCAGCAGGCAGCUGUAUACUCUGCACUGACACACAAGACCUUGAAAAAAAAUAUAAAGACAUCGUCACCUUGUCUGAUGAAGACGUGAAAGUGGCAGAGGAGGUCCUCUAGGUGUUCAAACCCCUCAAAACGUUUACAACCCUAUUGAGCACUGAAACUGCACCAUCUGUGUCCAUGAUCCUACCUCUGAAAACAAGGAUUCUACAAUCCAUGGCCCCAAGUCAGGAAGACCGCACCAUCAAUAGAGAGGUCAAGGCUGCCAUUAGAGAGGACCUGAACCCCACAUACCCCCUUAAUGUACAGGACUACCUUCAUCGUUCUACUGCACUGGAUCCAAGAUUCAAGUGUCUGUCUCACCUAGACCCUGCCCUACAGCGGAGGACAUAGUGAUCUCACCACUGAGAUUGUGAACACUGAAGAGGUCAAACCACAGCUGACAGGAGCAGACAGAGGCAUCUCCUCCACAAAAAUAAUUUGGCCAUGAAGGAGCUUUUUGGGGUGACCUUUGCGAGCAAGGACACAGGCAAGAUGUUUGCCAACACCAUCAAAGAGGAGGCAUCCUACAAGGCAGCAAGCAGCGUUCCAGUGGAUGGUGAUCUACUGGCAUGGUGGAAAAGCAUUGAGUGUAAAUACACUCACAUCGCCAUGAUGGCAAGAUGCUAGUUGGCUGUGCCUGCCACUUCAGUACCUAGCGAGAGGGUGUUCUCCACGGCAGGGUAAUAGUGACUGCAAAGAGGUCUACCCUCUCCCCAGACAAUGUAGACAUCCUCAUCUUUUUGAAAAAUAAUUUGAAGUUAUAUAUGCUCAGGUCUGUUUUGCUUUCUUUCUUUUUGUACUUUUUUUUAUGUGGACACAGGAUAUUUUUUCAUUCACUAUUGUUCAAAGGAAGAAGGUAUCAUGCCUCAUAUUGCACUUUAAUUUAACAAUUGAGCAUUGAAUAUUUUAUUUUAAGAUUGUAUUUAAACAUUGAAAAGUUCCUUGCUUUAAGUGUUCUUUAAGGAAUAAAUGGAAAGCAUUUCAUUA